CCUACGGGUGGCAGCAGUGAGGAAUAUUGGUCAAUGGGCGCGAGCCUGAACCAGCCAAGUCGCGUGAGGGAAGACGGUCCUAUGGAUUGUAAACCUCUUUUGUCGGGGAGCAAAAGACGCCACGCGUGGCGUUCCGAGAGUACCCGAAGAAAAAGCAUCGGCUAACUCCGUGCCAGCAGCCGCGGUAAUACGGAGGAUGCGAGCGUUAUCGGGAUUUAUUGGGUUAAAGGGGUGCGCAGGCGGAAGUUCAAGUCAGCGGUAAAAUUGAGAGGCUCAACCUCUUCGAGCCGUUGAAACUGGUUUUCUUGAGGGAGUGAGAAGUAUGCGGAAGGCGUGGUGUAGCGGUGAUAUGCAGAGAGAUAACGCAGAACUCCGAUUGCGAAGGAAGCAUACCGGCGCUCAACUGACGCUCAUGCACGAAAGUGUGGGUAUCGAACAGGAGUAGAUACCCUUGUAGUC
Molecule: ribosomal RNA, 459 nt
Filed under: uncultured bacterium
Lineage: Bacteria
Description: partial 16S ribosomal RNA
Rfam family: Bacterial small subunit ribosomal RNA
Source: RNAcentral